Molecule: ribosomal RNA, 313 nt
Filed under: uncultured bacterium
Lineage: Bacteria
Description: bacterial SSU rRNA
Rfam family: Bacterial small subunit ribosomal RNA
Source: RNAcentral
GACGAACGCUGGCGGCGCACAUAAGACAUGCAAGUCGAACGGACUUAACCAUUAGUUUACUAUUGGAGCGGUUAGUGGCGGACUGGUGAGUAACACGUAAGCAACCCGCCUAUCAGAGGGGAACAACAGUUAGAAAUGACUGCUAAUACCGCAUAAGACCACAGCACCGCAUGGUGCAGGGGUAAAAACUCCGGUGGUAUGAGAUGGACCCGCGUCUGAUUAGGUAGUUGGUGGGGUAACGGCCUACCAAGCCGACGAUCAGUAGCCGACCUGAGAGGGUGACCGGCCACAUUGGGACUGAGACACGGCUCAA